UAUGUUUACUUUUGGUUGUGAUGUAGCUUUGUAUAAUGCCUGCUUGCUCUCUCUUCAACCCCACUGUUACUGCAUGUUGAUGAAAUGGUAAUCAUGACUUCUCUAUCUUCAUACAGAUUCUUACGAGAAGGCAAGAGGGAAACAGAAAGAAGCAGAGAUGGUGCAUUACAUGCAACUACCCGGAGUAUCAUUCAGAUCUACAGACUGAUCUACUUACUGAUUUUGAUGAUGAAGGUGUGGGGCCUCGUCAUUCAAAGAGAAAACCAAAGAAGUAGCUGCUGGACUACGUCCGUCUUGUAUUGCCGACUGGCGGCUGAGCACAACAUGUCGGCGCCAAUAAAACAAGAAAUGACAGAUACAGACAACAAGAUUUGGAGCCGGGAGGCCGAGGUGGCGUUACUAGAAGAAGUGAGGCAGCACAGAUACUUGUGGGAGCCACAAGAUAAGCUGUAUGAGAAGCUGAGUCUACGCAAAACAACUUUUGAGAGAGUGGCAGCAACAUCCGAGAAAUGUUUAUCUCUGCGAGAUAUCGAAGGAGGUAAGGAACGAUUAUUUUCGUGUAUUAUAUAAUCACACUAUGUAAUGCCUGGGAUGGCAUGUUCCUCCCUUCUCCUUUGUUGUUAAAUGCAACAAUGAACAAUCAAUCAAUCAAUACUACUGAAGGUAAAACUCGCUUACUUAAAGUAUUUCUACAAUAUUAGGCUAAUGGACCAAACUCAUUGUGGUUUUAAUAUAUGGUAGUAGCCUUUUGGGGUGUCUGGGAUGAAUUCAUGCCCUUGCAUUUACUAGCAGUUUACGUCUUGAUGCUCCCGGCGGCUCCUCCCACGUGUGAACGUACUUGCUCCCGAGAGCACCCAGCUGGUCUAGCCGCUAGAUCGUCGCGGCUGUAUUGCCGGCCAUGAAUUGCCAGGUGUAAAGCCGCCUUUAGUCUGUGAUUCACUGAGGUUUAUAAGGAUGUGGAAAAGAUCGGCGAGGCUGGAGGGCAAAAAAGAAGAGGAGUGUGUGGUACCAUCUACCUGGAUAGUUGAAGGCAGCCAGAUUUUAUAUUGGCCAUCAAAAGUUGAUGCUCACAAUGCCCUAACUAGUCGAGAAGACCCAGACCCCAGAUCAUGGAGAAAAUUUCCAUUGAUAAAAGUAAAAAUAGCUUCUGACAGUUACGAGGAAUGUGAGACAUCAGCAGUAGACAGUGACAGAAGCAGCAGUGACCUGGAUGGGGAAGACGGUUUGACCUUGCGUGGUAGGAAGAAACGUAUGAAGAAAGCUCUGCCAAAGGACUUUAUUAGUAGUCAGGAUUUGGAUUGUCCACACUUUGCCUCAGGGCCAUCUUUACAAGUAACAGUUGCUCCCCCCACCACAAAAGGUUGUCCCACACAACCAUCAACACAAAGGCUUGCCAAGUGCAGCAAGAAACAAAUCUGAAAAGACAUAAUUCUGACAGAUGUGAAAGUAACCAGCAAAAGAAGAGUAGUUACCAACAGCAAGAUGAAGGCAGUCAGCCUGAUACCCUACACAAAAGACAUGACAGUCGUGGCUGACGCAGCAGACAUGACAGUCAUGACCAACACAACAGACAUGACAGCAGUGACCGAUGCAGCAGGCAUGACAGUCAUGACCGACACAACAGACAUGACAGUCGUGACCGACAUGA
Long non-coding RNA from Eriocheir sinensis (Chinese mitten crab), 1648 nucleotides. RefSeq lists it as uncharacterized. The transcript has 6 exons. NCBI's taxonomy places the organism in Eukaryota, Metazoa, Arthropoda, Malacostraca, Decapoda, Varunidae. The record is from RefSeq and is a predicted model, not a curated record.